This 158-nucleotide unclassified non-coding RNA is filed under the name uncultured Penicillium. Its description in RNAcentral is "sequence contains ITS2". Lineage: Eukaryota; Fungi; Ascomycota; Eurotiomycetes; Eurotiales; Aspergillaceae. The record is from RNAcentral.
CUGCCCUCAAGCACGGCUUGUGUGUUGGGCCUCCGUCCCUCUCGGGGGACGGGCCCGAAAGGCAGCGGCGGCACCGGUCCGGUCCUCGAACGUAUGGGGCUUUGUCACUCGUUUUGUAGGAUUGGCCGGCGCUUGCCGACACCAUCAAUCUUUUUCCA